GACGAACGCUGGUGGCGUGCCUAAUACAUGCAAGUUGGGCGCUGAAGGUUGGUACUUGUACCAACUGGAUGAGCAGCGAACGGGUGAGUAACGCGUGGGGAAUCUGCCUUUGAGCGGGGGACAACAUUUGGAAACGAAUGCUAAUACCGCAUAAAAACUUUAAACACAAGUUUUAAGUUUGAAAGAUGCAAUUGCAUCACUCAAAGAUGAUCCCGCGUUGUAUUAGCUAGUUGGUGAGGUAAAGGCUCACCAAGGCGAUGAUACAUAGCCGACCUGAGAGGGUGAUCGGCCACAUUGGGACUGAGACACGGCCCAAACUCCUACGGGAGGCAGCAGUAGGGAAUCUUCGGCAAUGGACGAAAGUCUGACCGAGCAACGCCGCGUGAGUGAAGAAGGUUUUCGGAUCGUAAAACUCUGUUGGUAGAGAAGAACGUUGGUGAGAGUGGAAAGCUCAUCAAGUGACGGUAACUACCCAGAAAGGGACGGCUAACUACGUG
RNAcentral lists this ribosomal RNA (497 nucleotides) under uncultured bacterium. RNAcentral describes it as "partial 16S ribosomal RNA". It matches the Rfam family "Bacterial small subunit ribosomal RNA", at positions 28 to 507 of the family's 1533-position model. The record is from RNAcentral.